This 292-nucleotide ribosomal RNA is filed under the name uncultured bacterium. RNAcentral's name for it is "partial 16S ribosomal RNA". It matches the Rfam family "Bacterial small subunit ribosomal RNA", at positions 505 to 796 of the family's 1533-position model. The record is from RNAcentral.
GUGUCAGCAGCCGCGGUAAUACGUAGGAUGCAAGCGUUGUCCGGAUUUACUGGGCGUAAAGCGCGCGCAGGCGGCACUCUAAGUACGCUGUGAAAUAUCCCGGCUCAACCGGGAGGGUGCAGUGUAGACUAGAGAGCUUGAGGUCGGUAGAGGGGGGUAGAAUUGCUGGUGUAGCGGUGAAAUGCGUAGAGAUCAGCAGGAAUACCCGUGGCGAAGGCGGCCCCCUGGGCCGUACCUGACGCUGAGGCGCGAAGGCUAGGGGAGCGAACGGGAUUAGAUACCCCUGUAGUCC